RNAcentral lists this ribosomal RNA (253 nucleotides) under uncultured bacterium. RNAcentral describes it as "partial 16S ribosomal RNA". It matches the Rfam family "Bacterial small subunit ribosomal RNA", at positions 524 to 776 of the family's 1533-position model. The record is from RNAcentral.
UACGAAGGGGGCUAGCGUUGUUCGGAAUUACUGGGCGUAAAGCGCACGUAGGCGGAUAUUUAAGUCAGGGGUGAAAUCCCAGAGCUCAACUCUGGAACUGCCUUUGAUACUGGGUAUCUCGAGUAUGGAAGAGGUAAGUGGAAUUCCGAGUGUAGAGGUGAAAUUCGUAGAUAUUCGGAGGAACACCAGUGGCGAAGGCGGCCAUCUGGGACAACACUGACGCUGAGGCACGAAAGCGUGGGGAGCAAACAGG